UACGAAGGGUGCUAGCGUUGCUCGGAAUCACUGGGCGUAAAGCGCACGUAGGCGGCUUUCUAAGUCAGGGGUGAAAUCCCGGAGCUCAACUCCGGAACUGCCUUUGAUACUGGAAAGCUUGAGUUCGGGAGAGGUGAGUGGAACUGCGAGUGUAGAGGUGAAAUUCGUAGAUAUUCGCAAGAACACCAGUGGCGAAGGCGGCUCACUGGCCCGAUACUGACGCUGAGGUGCGAAAGCGUGGGGAGCAAACAGG
RNAcentral lists this ribosomal RNA (253 nucleotides) under uncultured bacterium. RNAcentral's name for it is "partial 16S ribosomal RNA". It matches the Rfam family "Bacterial small subunit ribosomal RNA", at positions 524 to 776 of the family's 1533-position model. The record is from RNAcentral.